Molecule: ribosomal RNA, 397 nt
Filed under: uncultured bacterium
Lineage: Bacteria
Description: partial 16S ribosomal RNA
Rfam family: Bacterial small subunit ribosomal RNA
Source: RNAcentral
AUACGUAUGGAGCAAGCGUUAUCCGGAUUUACUGGGUGUAAAGGGAGCGUAGACGGCAUAGCAAGUCUGAAGUGAAAUCCCAUGGCUUAACCAUGGAACUGCUUUGGAAACUGCCAGGCUAGAGUGCAGGAGAGGUAAGCGGAAUUCCUAGUGUAGCGGUGAAAUGCGUAGAUAUUAGGAGGAACACCAGUGGCGAAGGCGGAUAACAGGACUGCAACUGAAGCUGAGGCGCGAAAUUGGGGGGUGCAACCAGGAUGAGAUACCCGGGGAGUCCACACUGUAACCGAGGAUUGCUAGUUGUAGGAGGUAGCGACCCCGUCUGCGCCGGAGUAAAAGCAAUAAGCACUCCGGCUGGGGAGCACGGUCUCAAGGUUGAAGCUUACAGGAAUUGGUGGGG